GGGUAUAUAGCUCAGUGGUAGAGCGUAUGCCUAGCAUACAUGAGGUCCUGGGUUCAAUCCCCAGUACCUCCA
This 72-nucleotide transfer RNA is filed under the name Camelus bactrianus (Bactrian camel). It matches the Rfam family "tRNA". Rfam says of the family: Transfer RNA (tRNA) molecules are approximately 80 nucleotides in length. Their secondary structure includes four short double-helical elements and three loops (D, anti-codon, and T loops). Further hydrogen bonds mediate the characteristic L-shaped molecular structure. tRNAs have two regions of fundamental functional importance: the anti-codon, which is responsible for specific mRNA codon recognition, and the 3' end, to which the tRNAs corresponding amino acid is attached (by aminoacyl-tRNA synthetases). tRNAs cope with the degeneracy of the genetic code in two manners: having more than one tRNA (with a specific anti-codon) for a particular amino acid; and 'wobble' base-pairing, i.e. permitting non-standard base-pairing at the 3rd anti-codon position. RNAcentral also lists the same sequence under 2 other names. The record is from Rfam by way of RNAcentral. Lineage: Eukaryota; Metazoa; Chordata; Mammalia; Artiodactyla; Camelidae.